ACCUCGGGAAACUGAGGAUAAUGUUCCAUAGUUGAAUCGGCUUGGAAAAGUUUUUCAAUAAAAGGGAUAAGGAAAAUGGUUCUUAUCUGCUAUAGGAUAGGAUCGUGCUCGAUUAUGGUUGUUGGUGAGGUAAAGGCUCACCAAGCCGAUAAUCGAUAGGGGCCGUGAGAGCGGGAGCCCCGAGACGGGUACUGAGACAACGACCCAGGCCUUACGAGGCGCAGCAGGCGCGAAACCUCCGCAAUACACGAAAGUGUGACGGGGUUACCCAAAGUGUUCUAUUUAGAACUGUGGUAGGUGAGUAAUGUCCCCUACUAGAAAGGAGAGGGCAAGGCUGGUGCCAGCCGCCGCGGUAAAACCAGCUCUUCAAGUGGUCGGGAUAAUUAUUGGGCUUAAAGUGUCCGUAGCCGGUUUAGUAAGUUCCUGGUAAAAUCGGGUAGCUUAACUAUCUAUAUGCUAGGAAUACUGCUAUACUAGAGGGCGGGAGAGGUCUGAGGUACUACAGGGGUAGGGGUGAAAUCUUAUAAUCCUUGUAGGACCACCAGUGGCGAAGGCGUCAGACUGGAACGCGCCUGACGGUGAGGGACGAAAGCCAGGGGAGCGAACCGGAUUAGAUACCCGGGUAGUCCUGGCCGUAAACGAUGCAUACUAGGUGAUGGCACGGCCAUGAGCCGUGUCAGUGCCGUAGGGAAACCGUUAAGUGUGCCGCCUGGGAAGUACGGUCGCAAGGCUAAAACUUAAAGGAAUUGGCGGGGGAGCACCACAAGGGGUGAAGCCUGCGGUUCAAUUGGAGUCAACGCCGG
RNAcentral lists this ribosomal RNA (803 nucleotides) under uncultured archaeon. RNAcentral's name for it is "bacterial SSU rRNA". It matches the Rfam family "Archaeal small subunit ribosomal RNA", at positions 129 to 921 of the family's 1478-position model. The record is from RNAcentral.